RNAcentral lists this long non-coding RNA (1039 nucleotides) under Salvia miltiorrhiza (redroot sage). Its description in RNAcentral is "long non-coding RNA (SMIL_LNC001841)". Lineage: Eukaryota; Viridiplantae; Streptophyta; Magnoliopsida; Lamiales; Lamiaceae. The record is from RNAcentral.
CAAAUUGAUUUCUAAUUUUUGUGAUAUACAAUAUCUGCAGAGACUAUUAUCCACCUACUCAAGGUAUCAUCACCCUCAGGGAACCACCAAUUCAUACCAAUUCAUACGGCUGUUCUGAUAUUUCACAACAUGUUUACAUAUGCACAUAUGAACUGAAAUUUACAGUAUUUGAUUUUUGCUCAAAAUCCUAUGCUAUUUUGUGAACUGAAUUGUGGUGUGUAAGGUUCAACUUCAUACUCCUAUUCUCAACUCCAUUUCCGUAAUCUUCAGAAACAAAGAAGAAUUUGUACAGAACCUUUGGAAACAAGAAAACCUAAGGACAUAACAUUUAUACAAUUUCAGAUUUCUCCAAGAACCCAUCUUUCUUUUCUUCAAAUCUGAGUUGAAUCCUUCUUGCUUACCUUCGGAGAGAGAGUGAGAGUCGAGAAAGUGGUGAGAGCUGGGAGGGGGUCUGUCGGAGCCUCACUCUGAGUUGACGAAGUCGCAGCUGCCGGUGCUGCAGGUGGCAGCAGCCCACUGACCGCUCGUAGCUAAAGCAGGCGGAGGCCCAAGACGGACGGCUGUUGGCUGGUAGGAGGCGAGGCGGCGUGACCCGAAGCGAUGCGAGACGCCGUCGCACGGGGUGGCGCUGCCGAAGGCCAAGCGCCGCUAGCCACUACGAGAACGGAGCAGCAGCAGCAAGCGCUCGUCCGCUGCCGGAAACGUGAUGGAAAGAGAGGGCAGAUGGGAGGCGGGAGCGUGUGAGGAUGAAGGAGAAGAGAUAGAAAAGAUAGAGAGAGGGAGAUUAUAUAAAGUGUGUGUGUGGUGAUUGAAGAGAGAGAGAGAUAAAAAAAAGUGUGUGUGCGUGUGUUUUGUUGUGAGGAGAGAAGGAAUAUUUUAAAAAAAAAAGAUAGAGAGAGGGAGAUUAUAUAAAGUGUGUGUGUGGUGAUUGAAGAGAGAGAGAGAAUAAAAAAAAGUGUGUGUGCGUGUGUUUUGUUGUGAGAAGAGAGAAAGAUUAAAAAGUUUGUGUGAGUGUGUUUUGAUAGAAGAGAGAGAGGGG